CCUACGGGAGGCAGCAGUGAGGAAUAUUGGUCAAUGGACGGAAGUCUGAACCAGCCAUGCCGCGUGCAGGAAGACGGCUCUAUGAGUUGUAAACUGCUUUUGUACAAGGGUAAACCUGAAUACGUGUAUUCAGCUGAAAGUACUGUACGAAUAAGGAUCGGCUAACUCCGUGCCAGCAGCCGCGGUAAUACGGAGGAUCCAAGCGUUAUCCGGAUUUAUUGGGUUUAAAGGGUGCGUAGGCGGAUUGAUAAGUUAGUGGUGAAAUGUCGGAGCUUAACUCGGGAACUGCCUCUAAUACUGUUGGUCUAGAGAAUAGUUGCGGUAGGCGGAAUGUAUGGUGUAGCGGUGAAAUGCUUAGAGAUCAUACAGAACACCGAUUGCGAAGGCAGCUUACCAAUCUAUAUCUGACGUUGAGGCACGAAAGCGUGGGGAGCAAACAGGAUUAGAUACCCGAGUAGUC
This 460-nucleotide ribosomal RNA is filed under the name uncultured bacterium. Its description in RNAcentral is "partial 16S ribosomal RNA". It matches the Rfam family "Bacterial small subunit ribosomal RNA", at positions 338 to 795 of the family's 1533-position model. The record is from RNAcentral.